RNAcentral lists this ribosomal RNA (347 nucleotides) under uncultured bacterium. Its description in RNAcentral is "partial 16S ribosomal RNA". It matches the Rfam family "Bacterial small subunit ribosomal RNA", at positions 338 to 682 of the family's 1533-position model. The record is from RNAcentral.
CCUACGGGUGGCUGCAGUGAGGAAUAUUGGUCAAUGGGCGCGAGCCUGAACCAGCCAAGUAGCGUGAAGGAUGACUGCCCUACGGGUUGUAAACUUCUUUUAUAAAGGAAUAAAGUGAGGCACGUGUGCCUUUUUGUAUGUACUUUAUGAAUAAGGAUCGGCUAACUACGUGCCAGCAGCCGCGGUAAUACGGAGGAUCCGAGCGUUAUCCGGAUUUAUUGGGUUUACAGGGAGCGGAGAUGGGUUGUUAAGGCAGUUGUGAAAGUUUGCGGCUCAACCGGAAAAUUGAAAUUGAUACUGGCAGUCUUGUGUCCAGUUGAGGUAGGCGGAAUUCGUGGUGUAGCGGU